CCUGGCCUCAAGCAAUCCUCCUGCCUCAGCCUCCUAAACUGCUGGGAUUACAGGUGUGAGUCACCACGCCCGGAGAGAAUGGGCAUCACUCAAAGACUUAGUCGGAAGCUGGGGGACGCAGCUGUGCUGAGAAGAAUCAGACGUUCCCCCAACCUCUGCCGGGCUCAUAGGAACAGGCCAAUGAACAAUGAGCCCCUCGACUUCACCUCUAUGUUGUUCCAGUCUUCCCCAACUUUGGCAACAGAGCACGCAUCGCUGGGAACCUCAGCUAAUUAGAUAUGCUGGAAAAUCCAGAUCUCGCCUUCACAUCAGCGACACUAAUCAGACAUGCUGGAAAAAGCAGAAAUCACCUUCACAUCAGAAACGUACCAGGUGUGCACCUGUCUCACCUCUGCAUCAGUGAAAUGACCACUGUUGGUCCCUGCUCUCACCUCAGCAUCAGCAGUACACCCAGGUGUGGUCCUGGUCGUAGUUGUAAGAAGUUGCACACCACACAAGGUUCUCCUUGGAUCCUUUGUUAGUGCAGUUAAAAUAAUUCUUGUUUUUAUAGUUGAAUGGAAAGUGGCAAGGAAAGCCAGGGACCAAUGCGGAAAUUCCUAGGAAGCAGAAGGGGAUAGGACAAAGGUUACUCCCCAGGUUUCACACUGUCAUAGAGGUGUGGGCUUCAGACCCACCCUAGAUUUCAAACUGGGGCUGAGUGUGAUGGGGUCGUGCCUUUAAUCCCAGCACGUUGGGAGACUGAGCCUGGAGGAUCACGUGAAGCCAGGAGUUCAAGACCAGCCUACA
Macaca mulatta (Rhesus monkey) is the source of this 786-nucleotide non-coding RNA. The record is from RefSeq and is a predicted model, not a curated record. NCBI's taxonomy places the organism in Eukaryota, Metazoa, Chordata, Mammalia, Primates, Cercopithecidae.